AGACACCCUUAUGGGGCAAGACUUGCUUCAGUAGGGCUUUGGUGCUCACUGAAUCUGCCCCCUGAGUGUGUCCCU
Molecule: microRNA precursor, 75 nt
Filed under: Myotis davidii
Lineage: Eukaryota; Metazoa; Chordata; Mammalia; Chiroptera; Vespertilionidae
Description: mir-9229 microRNA precursor family
Rfam family: mir-9229 microRNA precursor family
Source: Rfam by way of RNAcentral